This 492-nucleotide ribosomal RNA is filed under the name uncultured bacterium. RNAcentral describes it as "partial 16S ribosomal RNA". It matches the Rfam family "Bacterial small subunit ribosomal RNA", at positions 29 to 507 of the family's 1533-position model. The record is from RNAcentral.
AGUGAACGCUGGCGGUAGGCCUAACACAUCCCAGUCGAACGGCAGCACAGUAAGAGCUUGCUCUUACGGGUGGCGAGUGGCGGACGGGUGAGGAAUACAUCGGAAUCUACUUUUUCGUGGGGGAUAACGUAGGGAAACUUACGCUAAUACCGCAUACGACCUACGGGUGAAAGCAGGGGAUCUUCGGACCUUGCGCGAUUGAAUGAGCCGAUGUCGGAUUAGCUAGUUGGCGGGGUAAAGGCCCACCAAGGCGACGAUCCGUAGCUGGUCUGAGAGGAUGAUCAGCCACACUGGAACUGAGACACGGUCCAGACUCCUACGGGAGGCAGCAGUGGGGAAUAUUGGACAAUGGGCGCAAGCCUGAUCCAGCCAUACCGCGUGGGUGAAGAAGGCCUUCGGGUUGUAAAGCCCUUUUGUUGGGAAAGAAAAGCAGCAGGUUAAUACCCCGCUGUUCUGACGGUACCCAAAGAAUAAGCACCGGCUAACUUCGUG